ACGCUCGACACCUACCGGAGGCAGCAGUGGGGAAUAUUGCACAAUGGGGGAAACCCUGAUGCAGCGACGCCGCGUGAGCGAAGAAGUAUUUCGGUAUGUAAAGCUCUAUCAGCAGGGAAGAAACUGACGGUACCUGACUAAGAAGCACCGGCUAAAUACGUGCCAGCAGCUGCGGUAAUCUGAGCGGGCUGGCAAGGC
This 198-nucleotide ribosomal RNA is filed under the name uncultured bacterium. Its description in RNAcentral is "partial 16S ribosomal RNA". It matches the Rfam family "Bacterial small subunit ribosomal RNA", at positions 328 to 539 of the family's 1533-position model. The record is from RNAcentral.